Molecule: ribosomal RNA, 618 nt
Filed under: uncultured bacterium
Lineage: Bacteria
Description: bacterial SSU rRNA
Rfam family: Bacterial small subunit ribosomal RNA
Source: RNAcentral
CGGUAGCAGGAAGUGCUUGCACUUUGCUGACGAGUGGCGGACGGGUGAGUAAUACUUAGGAACAUGCCUUUGUGUGGGGGAUAACCAUUGGAAACGAUGGCUAAUACCGCAUAAUGUCUUUGGACCAAAGAGGGCUUUCGGGCUCUCGCGCAAAGAGUGGCCUAAGUGAGAUUAGCUUGUUGGUGAGGUAAAGGCUCACCAAGGCGACGAUCUCUAGCUGUUCUGAGAGGAAGAUCAGCCACACUGGGACUGAGACACGGCCCAGACUCCUACGGGAGGCAGCAGUGGGGAAUAUUGCACAAUGGGGGCAACCCUGAUGCAGCCAUGCCGCGUGUGUGAAGAAGGCCUUCGGGUUGUAAAGCACUUUCAGUUGUGAGGAAAGGUUGGUGGUUAAUACCCAUCAGCUGUGACGUUAGCAACAGAAGAAGGACCGGCUAACUCCGUGCCAGCAGCCGCGGUAAUACGGAGGGUCCGAGCGUUAAUCGGAAUUACUGGGCGUAAAGCGCACGCAGGCGGUUUGUUAAGCUAGAUGUGAAAGCCCUGGGCUCAACCUGGGAAUUGCAUUUAGAACUGGCAGGCUAGAGUUUUGGAGAGGGGAGUGGAAUUCCAGGUGUAGCG